AAAAGAUUUGGGACCAAGCAAGAACUGUAGCUACAGCAACAAGAGAGGUGCCAACUGGCGACAGAUAAGAGAGACAGACAGAGACACAGGCAGACAGAGACAGGGAAAGGCAAAGAGAGGGAGAGACAGAGAGAUGAGUAGAGGAUGGUGAGUUUGCCACUAGAUAAGACAGACAGAGACACAGGCAGACAGAGACAAAGGGAAGGAGAGAGAGAGAUGAGUAGAGGAUGGUGAGUUUGCCACUAGAUAAGACAGACAGAGACACAGGCAGACAGACAGACAGACAGGCAGGCAGACAGACACAGGCAGGCAGGCAGACACAGGCAGACAGACAGACACAGGCAGACAGACAGACACAGGCAGAGACAGACAGACACAGGCAGAGACAGACAGACACAGGCAGACAGACAGACACAGGCAGACAGACAGACACAGGCAGACAGAGACAAAGGGAGGGAGAGACAGAGAG
This is a long non-coding RNA of Oncorhynchus tshawytscha (Chinook salmon), 469 nucleotides long. The record is from Ensembl. NCBI's taxonomy places the organism in Eukaryota, Metazoa, Chordata, Actinopteri, Salmoniformes, Salmonidae.